CGUGCGGUUCUAUUUUGUUGGUUUCUAGGACCGCCGUAAUGAUUAAUAGGGAUAGUUGGGGGCAUUUGUAUUCCGUCGUCAGAGGUGAAAUUCUUGGAUUGCCGGAAGACAAACUACUGCGAAGGCAUUUGCCAAGGAUGUUUUCAUUGAUCAAGAACGAAGGAAGGGGGAUCGAAAACGAUCAGAUACCGUUGUAGUCUCUUCUGUAAACUAUGCCAAUUGGGGAUUAGCACAGGAUUUUCAAUGACCGUGUUAGCACCCGAAGAGAAAUCUUUAAAUGAGGUUCGGGGGGGAGUAUGGUCGCAAGGCUGAAACUUAAAGGAAUUGACGGAAGGGCACCACCAGGUGUGGAGCCUGCGGCUUAAUUUGACUCAACACGGGGAAACUCACCAGGUCCAGACACAAUAAGGAUUGACAGAUUGAUAGCUCUUUCUUGAUCUUGUGGUUGGUGGUGCAUGGCCGUUCUUAGUUGGUGGAGUGAUUUGUCUGGUUAAUUCCGAUAACGAACGAGACCUUAACCUGCUAAAUAGACCAGUCGACUUUGGUUGACUGCUGUCUUCUUAGAGGGACUAUCAGCGUUUAGCUGAUGGAAGUUUGAGGCAAUAACAGGUCUGUGAUGCCCUUAGAUGUUCUGGGCCGCACGCGCGCUACACUGACAGGGCCAGCGAGUACAUCACCUUGGCCGAGAGGUCCGGGUAAUCUUGUUAAACCCUGUCGUG
This 719-nucleotide ribosomal RNA is filed under the name uncultured Pucciniomycotina. Its description in RNAcentral is "SSU rRNA". It matches the Rfam family "Eukaryotic small subunit ribosomal RNA", at positions 827 to 1569 of the family's 1831-position model. The record is from RNAcentral. Lineage: Eukaryota; Fungi; Basidiomycota.